CCCUUAGAUGUUCUGGGCUGCACGCGCGCGACAAUGACGUUUGCAACGAGAUUGCGAGGCCGUCAGGUCGAGCUGAUCUUGCAAGCUGCGUCGUGAUAGGGACAGUCGAUUGCAAUUAUUCGACUCGAACGAGGAAUUCCUUGUAAUCGCGCAUCAUCAGUGCGCGCUGAAUACGUCCCUGCCCUUUGUACACACCGCCCGUCGCUCCUACCGAUUGAACGGUUUAGUGAGGGCCUCGGAUUGGUCUCGGCCCGCUCUUUACCGGGCGGCGCCGUUGGUCGAGAAGACGCUCGAACUUGAUCGUUUAGAGGAAGUAAAAGUCGUAACA
RNAcentral lists this ribosomal RNA (328 nucleotides) under uncultured eukaryote. Its description in RNAcentral is "partial 18S ribosomal RNA". It matches the Rfam family "Eukaryotic small subunit ribosomal RNA", at positions 1470 to 1796 of the family's 1831-position model. The record is from RNAcentral.